RNAcentral lists this ribosomal RNA (467 nucleotides) under uncultured bacterium. RNAcentral describes it as "partial 16S ribosomal RNA". It matches the Rfam family "Bacterial small subunit ribosomal RNA", at positions 29 to 507 of the family's 1533-position model. The record is from RNAcentral.
ACGAACGCUGGCGGCGUGCUUCACACCUGCAAGUCGAACGGAAAGGCCCUGCUUUUGUGGGGUGCUCGAGUGGCGAACGGGUGAGUAACACGUGAGUAACCUGCCCUUGACUUUGGGAUAACUUCAGGAAACUGGGGCUAAUACCGGAUAGGAGCUCCUGCUGCAUAGUGGGGGUUGGAAAGUUUCGGCGGUUGGGGAUGGACUCGCGGCUUAUCAGCUUGUUGGUGGGGUAGUGGCUUACCAAGGCUUUGACGGGUAGCCGGCCUGAGAGGGUGACCGGCCACAUUGGGACUGAGAUACGGCCCAGACUCCUACGGGAGGCAGCAGUGGGGAAUAUUGCACAAUGGGCGGAAGCCUGAUGCAGCAACGCCGCGUGCGGGAUGACGGCCUUCGGGUUGUAAACCGCUUUCGCCUGUGACGAAGCGUGAGUGACGGUAAUGGGUAAAGAAGCACCGGCUAACUACGUG